RNAcentral lists this ribosomal RNA (253 nucleotides) under uncultured bacterium. RNAcentral's name for it is "partial 16S ribosomal RNA". It matches the Rfam family "Bacterial small subunit ribosomal RNA", at positions 524 to 776 of the family's 1533-position model. The record is from RNAcentral.
UACGAAGGGGGCUAGCGUUGCUCGGAAUUACUGGGCGUAAAGCGCACGUAGGCGGAUCGUUAAGUCGGGGGUGAAAUCCUGGAGCUCAACUCCAGAACUGCCCUCGAUACUGGCAAUCUCGAGUCCGGGAGAGGUGAGUGGAACUCCGAGUGUAGAGGUGAAAUUCGUAGAUAUUCGGAAGAACACCAGUGGCGAAGGCGGCUCACUGGCCCGGUACUGACGCUGAGGUGCGAAAGCGUGGGGAGCAAACAGG